AGGGGUAUCGCCAAGUGGUAAGGCACCGGUUUUUGAUAUCGGCAUCCGUUGGUUCGAAUCCAGCUACCUCUGCCA
Molecule: transfer RNA, 75 nt
Filed under: Pseudomonadales bacterium RIFCSPHIGHO2_12_FULL_40_16
Lineage: Bacteria; Pseudomonadati; Pseudomonadota; Gammaproteobacteria; Pseudomonadales
Description: tRNA-Gln
Rfam family: tRNA
About the family: Transfer RNA (tRNA) molecules are approximately 80 nucleotides in length. Their secondary structure includes four short double-helical elements and three loops (D, anti-codon, and T loops).
Source: RNAcentral